Long non-coding RNA from Pogoniulus pusillus (Red-fronted tinkerbird), 3649 nucleotides. RefSeq lists it as uncharacterized. NCBI's taxonomy places the organism in Eukaryota, Metazoa, Chordata, Aves, Piciformes, Lybiidae. The record is from RefSeq and is a predicted model, not a curated record. The transcript has 2 exons.
CGCUGGGGGGGGACUGGGGUCCCUCCCCCGAGGCUCCUUGACCUGCCCUGCCAGGGAGGUGCUGCUGCCGCUGCCUGCUGGCCUGGCACAGGUGGCACUGAGGGCGCUGGGCCCAGGCCUGCAGCCCCAGCCCGGCCCGGGGGGAGGCCUCAGCAGCGCCCCCAGGCCAGGCUGCAGUGCUGCGGGGACAAGCUGAGGGCCUGAGUGGGCACUGGGGGGCGCUGGGCGGGGACGGGGAGGGGCUGGGGGAUUAGUGGGGGCAUACAAGGAGGUGAGUGGGGGUCUCUGGGAGGCCAGUGGGCGGGUCUGCGGGUCCCUGGGAGGGUCUGGGGGUCCCUGGGAGGGUCUGGGGGUCCCUGAGCCCUCCCCCUGCAGGCUCUGGGUCUCCCGGGGGGCUGGAGGCCUGCGGGGGGAGGUCUCCUCCUUCCUGGAGCUGCUGGGGCUGUGCUGGAGACCAUCGAGCACUUCGGAGGGGCAGGGGCAGGCCCCGCCCACGCCAGAGGAUGCACCAAUCAGCUGCUGACCCUCCCCGUCCUAACCAGUCUUCCCCCCCCCCCCAAUAAAGCACCAAACUCUGCCAGGUGGACCCUGCCUUCAUUUAUGCAAAUGAGGGGGCGGGGCACAGGGGUGACCAUGCCCACAGCCCCCACAGGAUCCACCAAUCAGCUGCUGACCCUCCCGGUAACCCCUCCCCAACCCCCAACCCAUCUCCAAGGUACUCAAAGGCAGAGCCUGAUAUUGAAAUGUAUACAAAUGAGGGAGGCAGAACAAGUGGCAAACCACGCCCAUCACAAUCCACCAAUCAGCAGCCACCUCCUGAACUCCUCCUCCAAAGGAAGCUCCAAAUCUGUCACCAUAUAAUUAGUUACUGUGGGGCGGGGGCGGGGCUAUGGAAAGGGGUGUGGCUAUGCAAAUAAAGAGGCAGCAACCAGAGCCAGGCAAGAAAGGCCAGGGAGGGGGCGUGGCUCCGCAGCCCGGGGGGCGUGGCUCCGCCAGCCCACUCCUCCCGCAGCAGCAGACCCCUGCAGAGCCCUGCAGUGCCCUAGAGACAUCUCCAGACUCCUGCAGACAACUUCAGACCUUUCCAAGGGCUCUGCAGACCCUUACAGACCCCUGCAAACUCUUCACACCCCUAAGACCUCUACACACAGCCGCAGCCUCCUCUGCAGAGCCCUGCAGCCCCCUCCACACCUUCAAUGGAUUCCUGCAGACACUUAACAGAUGCCUGACAGAGCUCCACAGACCCCUGCAGACCUUUACAAGAUGCCUGCAGACACCUGCGGGCCCAGAACAGAAACCUCCACACACCUGCUGAAUGCUACAGACACUUGCACACCCCUCCAGCCUCCUAGAGACCUCUAGGGACCCCUCCCGACCUUUCCAUAGAGCCCUGCAGACCCCUGCAUGUCUUUAAGAGGCCCCUAGAGACCCCCACAGACCUCUACAGACUGCCAGAGAACCCUGCAGACCCCUACAGACACCUCGAGACCUUUGCAAGGCACCUCAAGACCUUCACAGCCUUUUGAGACACCUACAGCACCACAGACACCUCUACAGACCCCUAACCACCUCCACAGACACCCAGAGAGCUCCACAGACACCCAGAGAGCCCUCCAGGCCCCUAAGGGUACCUACAGAUGCCUCCAGACCCCCGCACACCUCUGCACACUCAGAAAAGCCUCCAGGCCUUUUAGAAGACCCCUGCAGACACCUACAGACCUGGGCAGACUCCUACAGCUGCUUGCACACCCCUGCAGACACCGACAGGCUCCUCCUGGCCUGCAAGCUCACACCAUGUGCUCGCACUCAGCUUCUCCCCAGCACCCCCAGGGCUGCUCUUUAUCGCCUCCGCCCCCAGCCCGCAGGCACAGGCAGGCUUCCUCCCGCCCACACGCAGCACCCUGCCCUUGCUCUCCUGGAACCUCACAAGCUUCGCCUGGGCCCAGCUCCCCUGCCUGCCCAGGUGUUUCCUGGAUGCCAUCCUGCCCCUCGGCUUGCUCUCCAGCACCACUCAGCUUGGGGCCACCUGCAAACACGCUGCCAGUGCACCUCUAUCUCAUUUGGGACAGUCACACUCUAGAGACACUGGACAAAAGUGUCCUGGAGCCAAAGAACUCCUUCACUGAAUGCAGACACCUACAGACCCCUCCACACCUUUAACAGACCACUGCAGCCCACUGCAGAACUCUGUAGAGCCCUCCAGACCUCCACAGACCCAUUAAAAGGCACCUCCAGACCCAGGCAGACCUCUACAGAGAACUAACAGAGCCCUGCAAAUCCCUACAGGCAUCUACGGACCCCUGCAGCUGCCUGCAAACACAUACAGACCCCUACAGAGCUCCCCACACCCAUCCAGACCCCUCCAGAUAUUUAACAGACCCCUGCACACAUCUACAGACCCCUCCAGAGCCUUCAAUGAUGCCUGCAGGCACCUACAGACCCACACAGAAAUCUCCAAACACCUACUCAACUCUACAGACCUCUGCAGACUCUCUCAGACCCUGACAAAUAGCUACAGACCCCUUCACACCUCUGCAGACACCCACACUCACCUACACACCACCACAGACAUGGACAAAGCUCAACAGGCACCUGCAGACCCCUCCACACCUUUAAAAGCUGCCCAGAGACUCCUACAGAACCCUGCCAAAAUCUACAGACCCUGCCAGAGCUCUACAGACCCCUCCAGACAUUUGAAAGGUGCCUGCAGACCUCCACACCCCCCUAGAGACAGCUGCAGGCACCCACAUUCCUCUACAAAGCUCUAGAGACCUCUACAGACAGCUACAGACCCCUCCAGACAUUUGAGAGGUGCCUGCAGACCCCUGCAGCACCCUAGAGACAUCUACAGACAACUUCAGACCUUUCAAAGGGGUCUGCAGACCCUUAGAGAUCCCUGCAAAUUCUUCACACCCCUCCACUAACUCUAACCUGUCAGCACCUCCCAGCAGCAGGGAACAGAGAGAAGCACUCCACAGCCGUUUGCACGAGAGGCUUUCUGCUCAUCCAGCUGCUCUGUUAGCAUCUGCAUGGGACAGAAUCUUCAGCUACUAGGUCAGAGCUCUGACUGAGCAAUCUCCUUUUCAACCCUUCCCUCCUGGCAGACACAGACAAACCCUACCUGGAGCCCACAGGAGCCGAGCCAAAGGAGAUCACCCUGCCAGGCUGCAGGGCCAGGCUGCAGCGGCACCAGCGUCCGUGCUGACGGAUUCACCGCAGCAGCUGGGGCCCUCGUGCCCAUCCUGCUGCUGCUGCACAUCUGGCUGGCUUGGCCAGUGGAGUGGAAAGCAAAGUGCAAACCUGCCAAGAGUGAAACAACCAAGGACAAAGCUCAGUUACUCACACUGUGAAGGUGAGGGCACGCUCCUAUGCCCCCAGUAAAAACACUGCCAAAGCAUUUCAUUUUCCACUGCCAUGCACUGACCUUGCAGAGCUCUGAGCUGAUCCCACUCCAACACUCCACCUCCAGUGCACACAGUCAGCUCUGACUGCAGGGUGCUGCCAUGUGGGCCAUGCACACACAGGAGGGACGCCUGGCCCCCAGCACUGCCCAGCAGACAUGCUCCUGAGCUGCCAGGGACACGUACCAGUGACAGCCAGACAGAAAUAAAGCACGUCAGAGCACCCCACCAGAAGAUGGGAAAGACAA